UGGGGAAUUUUGCACAAUGGGGGAAACCCUGAUGCAGCGACGCCGCGUGAUUUAGAAGGCCUUCGGGUUGUAAAAAUCUUUUGUAUGGGAAGAAAAUGACAGUACCAUACGAAUAAGGACCGGCUAAUUACGUGCCAGCAGCCGCGGUAAUACGUAAGGUCCGAGCGUUGUCCGGAAUCAUUGGGCGUAAAGGGUACGUAGGCGGAUAAGCAAGUUAGAAGUGAAAUCCUAUAGCUCAACUAUAGUAAGCUUUUAAAACUGCUCAUCUUGAGGUAUGGAAGGGAAAGUGGAAUUCCUAGUGUAGCGGUGAAAUGCGCAGAUAUUAGGAAGAAUACCGGUGGCGAAGGCGACUUUCUGGUCAUAAUCUGACGCUGAGGUACGAAAGCGUGGGUAGCAAACAGG
This 402-nucleotide ribosomal RNA is filed under the name Verrucomicrobiota bacterium. Its description in RNAcentral is "Verrucomicrobia bacterium partial 16S ribosomal RNA". It matches the Rfam family "Bacterial small subunit ribosomal RNA", at positions 355 to 776 of the family's 1533-position model. The record is from RNAcentral. Lineage: Bacteria; Pseudomonadati; Verrucomicrobiota.